GAGCCCUUAUCCUGUUUGGGAGUUGAAAUAUACAUCUUCUCUGUCUGUAGGGUGCAGCAUUAAGGGAGCGACCUCCAAGAGUUUCCAAUGGGCUUCUGAUUGGUCAAAAUUCUGGAAUUUCCUCUCUAAUGGCACUGUGGCUAUGUAAUAGACUGUAAUGGCUCAAGAACGUAGCUCACCACCAAGAUCAAUUUGGGAUAAGUGAACAAAUGCUGGUCCAGCUAGUGACGCCCACAUCCCAUUUCCCUGGAAUUAUGUAGGAAUAAUAUGGGUACUGAGGACACUUCAUCAAUAACGCCCUGCUGUUGUCAAUAGAUAAGAGCAGACUUGUGAUACCGUUUUGAACAAUUCACACGAGACUUGACUGCACACAGCAUCAUAACAGGUAGUCCCACAUUUCAUUUAUGAGAAAAAUGAAUUGAUCCAAAGACAAAACAAGUGUGCAGAUAGCAUCUUCUGUGGGAAAUGAUGGGAGGAAAAAGGAGUUAUGAAGAGGUCCACAGCUGACAAAGAUAAUGGAGAAUUGUGACAUUGAAAGUGCAAACCACAAGCAC
Chiloscyllium plagiosum (whitespotted bambooshark) is the source of this 554-nucleotide non-coding RNA. NCBI's taxonomy places the organism in Eukaryota, Metazoa, Chordata, Chondrichthyes, Orectolobiformes, Hemiscylliidae. The record is from RefSeq and is a predicted model, not a curated record.